This 495-nucleotide ribosomal RNA is filed under the name uncultured bacterium. RNAcentral describes it as "bacterial SSU rRNA". It matches the Rfam family "Bacterial small subunit ribosomal RNA", at positions 8 to 526 of the family's 1533-position model. The record is from RNAcentral.
AGAGUUUGAUCAUGGCUCAGGAUGAACGCUGGCGGCGUGCCUAAUACAUGCAAGUCGAACGGGGGUGCAGCAAUGUACCCUAGUGGCGACCGGGUGCGUAACACGUAGCUGACCUACCCCGGCGCGGGGGACAACAGGCCGAAAGGUCUGCUAAUACCGCAUAGCCCACAGGGCGUUAAAGAACCUGUGGGAAACUUCCGGGGCGCCGGGUGGGGGCUGCGGCCCAUCAGGUAGUUGGUAGGGUAGUGGCCUACCAAGCCGACGACGGGUAGGGGGCCUGAGAGGGUGGUCCCCCACACUGGGACUGACAGACGGCCCAGACUCCUACGGGAGGCAGCAGUAAGGGAUAUUGCGCAAUGGGCGAAAGCCUGACGCAGCAACGCCGCGUGGAGGAUGACGGCCUUCGGGUUGUAAACUCCUUUGGACGGGGACGAGCAAGGACGGUACCCGUCAAACAAGUCACGGCUAACUACGUGCCAGCCGCCGCGGUAAUAC